This 460-nucleotide ribosomal RNA is filed under the name uncultured bacterium. Its description in RNAcentral is "partial 16S ribosomal RNA". It matches the Rfam family "Bacterial small subunit ribosomal RNA", at positions 338 to 795 of the family's 1533-position model. The record is from RNAcentral.
CCUACGGGAGGCAGCAGUGAGGAAUAUUGGUCAAUGGCCGGGAGGCUGAACCAGCCAAGUCGCGUGAAGGAAGACGGCCCUACGGGUUGUAAACCUCUUUUAUCAGGGAGCAAAGUGCAGGUCGGGACCUGCUGUGCGUGUACCUGAAGAAAAAGCAUCGGCUAACUCCGUGCCAGCAGCCGCGGUAAUACGGAGGAUGCGAGCGUUAUCCGGAUUUAUUGGGUGUAAAGGGAGCGUAGACGGUUAGACAAGUCUGUUGUGAAAGCCCGGGGCUCAACCGCGAGAUUGCCUUGGAUACUGGCUGACUGGAGUGCAGGUGAGGUAAGCGGAAUUCGUAGUGUAGCGGUGAAAUGCGUAGAUAUUAGGAAGAACACCAGUGGCGAAGGCGGCUUGCUGGACAGUAACUGACGUUGAGGCUCGAAAGUGUGGGUAGCAAACAGGAUUAGAUACCCGUGUAGUC